RNAcentral lists this ribosomal RNA (431 nucleotides) under uncultured bacterium. Its description in RNAcentral is "bacterial SSU rRNA". It matches the Rfam family "Bacterial small subunit ribosomal RNA", at positions 355 to 786 of the family's 1533-position model. The record is from RNAcentral.
UGGGGAAUAUUGCACAAUGGGCGCAAGCCUGAUGCAGCGACGCCGCGUGAGCGAAGAAGUAUUUCGGUAUGUAAAGCUCUAUCAGCAGGGAAGAAAAUGACGGUACCUGACUAAGAAGCUCCGGCUAAAUACGUGCCAGCAGCCGCGGUAAUACGUAUGGAGCAAGCGUUAUCCGGAAUUACUGGGUGUAAAGGGAGCGUAGACGGAUUUGCAAGUCUGAUGUGAAAGGCGGGGCUGCAACAUCCUCGGACGUGCAUUGGGAAACUAUUAGGAAUCUUGAGUUGGCCGGAGCAGGGAGUAAAGCGGAAAUUUCCCUAGUGUAGCGGUGAAAUGCGUAGAUAUUAGGAGGAACACCAGUGGCGAAGGCGGCUUACUGGACGGUAACUGACGUUGAGGCUCGAAAGCGUGGGGAGCAAACAGGAUUAGAUACC